CCCUUAGAUGUUCUGAACCGCACGCGUGUUACACUGAUGCAUUCAACGAGCUUUACCUUGGCCGAGAGGCCUGGGAAAUCUUUUUAGCAUGCAUCGUGAUAGGGAUUGAUUAUUGCAAUUAUUAAUCAUGAACGAGGAAUUCCUAGUAAACGCAUUUCAUCAAAAUGCAUUGAUUACGUCCCUGCCCUUUGUACACACCGCCCGUCGCACCUACCGAUUGAGUGGUCCGGUGAAGUCUCGAGAUUGUGGCAAUCUCCUUUAUUGGAGUUCGACUGCGAGAACUUGCCUAAACCUUAUCACUUAGAGGAAGGUGAAGUCGUAACA
Molecule: ribosomal RNA, 324 nt
Filed under: uncultured eukaryote
Lineage: Eukaryota
Description: partial 18S ribosomal RNA
Rfam family: Eukaryotic small subunit ribosomal RNA
Source: RNAcentral